RNAcentral lists this non-coding RNA (31 nucleotides) under Homo sapiens (human). The record is from RNAcentral. Lineage: Eukaryota; Metazoa; Chordata; Mammalia; Primates; Hominidae.
UAAAGGCUCACUCUGGUUGCUAAGUUACAAA